Long non-coding RNA from Parus major (Great Tit), 1855 nucleotides. RefSeq lists it as uncharacterized. Lineage: Eukaryota; Metazoa; Chordata; Aves; Passeriformes; Paridae. The record is from RefSeq and is a predicted model, not a curated record. The transcript has 2 exons.
AAGAAAAGUCAUUAUAUGUAUCUUUCAUGUUCCAAGCUGAAGCUCUGCAAGACAGGCCCCUUGUGUCCAGGUAUGAUUCUCCAAACAGCUGGAUUUGGCAUUUUUCUAGGGAAAACAUUCCCUCAAGAUUUGCUGCUAAAAAUAAAUAAGAUCAUAAACUUUUACAACCACCCCCAUAGUACUAAAUUUGACACCUCAAGCAAUGUAGGAUGCUGGAAGUGCUCAGUGUUUUGUACCAUAACAAGGGGGAGAAAUACCCUUGAAAUGCACUUUCCGUGUUACCCUUUCAGCUAUAUACACAAAAUAGAGGCAUAAGUAUUAACUCUGCUCAUUAAUUCCAAUAUCUACUGGAUAAAUUUAAAGAAUGCUUAAAAAGCUGGUAAGCCCCCAACUUUGCAAACAGCAGGGAAAGAAUCCAAGUGAAUCAAAGUCCAAAACCAGGGAGGUUGGAAGUUGAAUAUUUACUUCAAGCAAAUAUUUCACCACUUUGGCUGUGAAGGCCAAGCCGUGAGGGGAUUGCUAUGAGGGCCAAGCUGUGAUGGGGAUGCCGUGAGGGCCAUGCCGGGAGAGGAUCUGCCAAGAAGGGGAUGCCAUGAGGGCCAUGCCAUGAGAGGAUCUGCCAUGAAGGGGAUGCCGUGAGGGCCAUACCCUGAGGGGGGGGAUUCGAGAGCGGGAAGGAUCCUCCGCCACAGACGGAACUACAGCACCCAGCGAGCAUCGCGGCACCGGCGCGGGAGGAGGGACGAGAGCGUGUCAGCAAUGUCGCGACAGGGACACCCGGAGUUCCCUUUGGCACAGAAAUUCCUCAAGUCUAGGAAUAUGAGGCGGGUGGGGAAAGGGGGAGAGGCGGCCGAAAGACUUUAGGGAUGAGUAGGUUGUUGUUAUUUUAUGCGUCAGGCAGUUGCCUCAGGGGCUGACGGUGGUGGUCUGUGAGGGCUGUGCAAAGGUGGAUUUUGUCUCUACAUCCCUUGAAAUACCACAUAGGAGCAACUCCUUAGUUUGUCCCACAUUUGAACUUUCUGCUCUAUGAAACCAAAAAGUAUUGGGCAACGUUUAGUCUAAUUUAGCAUUACAAUUGUGCUACAAUACUAUUAAUAAAACAAGAUUUGAACCACAGUUUUCCUCCCUUCAAUUGCUGUAAUGUGAAAACAUCACUGUUUGUAAAAUACCUUAGGAAAUAAGGCUUAAUGUUAUUUCUUUGCAUAUUUAAGCACACCCCAGACUCCUUUGAAAAGAAAGAGUUGCAUGAAGAAACGCUCUAAGCAUUGAUGAUCGUAGCAGAACUAUUAUUACUAAAGUCUUACAAUGUUACUAAUUGGACAUUAACCAGCAACAAUCACUGGUCUUGACAAGAUGAAAGUGAAAAAUUUAAUUAAUCUGAAAACUACCUGACACUGAAACCAAAUAAAAUAAUUUAAAUAAAAGGAAGUUUAUUCAGCAAGCAGAGACAGCAAGAACAGUUAUUUUUCAUGUAGGGCUGUGGAUCCUCAAAAAAAGGGACUUUUUGUAAUUAUCACGUUAGUUUUGUUUAUAAGGAGUCAGAGGGAAACAUGCAGCAGACAUUAAAGUCCUCUGACUUUUUUUGGGGCACCUUUCUUCAUGUUUUUGACAUGCCUGGUCGAGACAAGGCCAUUUGCAUCAGCUGAAUCCAAAUAUGUCUGAAAUUGUUCAAGUGAAACAUUUUAAGUCUUUACUUUGAUAUCAAAUAUGACAUAGUGUUCUACCAGAAAAUAACAUAUAUUAAUCUGAGCAUGGCAUGAACCAGGUAUAAGGACCUCUUAACUGUAACUACUUUAUACUUAAAAUGGAAUAAAUCAAGUGUGACAUAAAAGUAAGCAAGUUGAUCCAAGUCUCU